Molecule: small RNA, 58 nt
Filed under: Crinalium epipsammum PCC 9333
Lineage: Bacteria; Bacillati; Cyanobacteriota; Cyanophyceae; Gomontiellales; Gomontiellaceae
Description: Nitrogen stress-induced RNA 1
Rfam family: Nitrogen stress-induced RNA 1
Source: Rfam by way of RNAcentral
UGGUAGAUGCACCCUAAACAUUAACAUCCCCAGCUACUCUAGGCUGGGGUUUUUUGUU